GAAUGCUGAAUCUGAGAGAGAAAUUAUAGAGUUUUUGAAUUCACUAAUCGCAGGGGGACUUGAUAUUUAUUCAGCAUUGUAAGUUACCUAAUGUCACCGUCAGGCCCGUCUCAGUUGUAGGUGAGGCCCUGUGCUGAAAAAAAAAUUUUAGGGCCUUCUUAAGAAGAAGAAAAAAAAUCUGGGCCCUUUUCUUUAAGAAAAAAAACAAUUUAAAACAUUUUCGGGCCUUAUUUUGGGCUAAAAAAUUUCAAAAUUGUAAUGGGCCCUGUGCAAAUGUGCUCCCAGCACAUGAGUGAUAACCAAAAAAACUAGGGCAUGACAUAAAUUGCCAAUUGAGGAGGAAUAACGAAGGAGACUUUGUGUCAUAUGACUGAGUCAUGGUCGUCUUACCUCAUAUCAUAAUU
Molecule: long non-coding RNA, 404 nt
Filed under: Brassica rapa (field mustard)
Lineage: Eukaryota; Viridiplantae; Streptophyta; Magnoliopsida; Brassicales; Brassicaceae
Description: long non-coding RNA (BRAP_LNC004226)
Source: RNAcentral